This is an RNA transcript of Gallus gallus (chicken), 1453 nucleotides long. It is a transcript of the gene named transmembrane protein 120A, with no coding region annotated. The transcript is spliced from 10 exons. The record is from RefSeq and is marked validated. NCBI's taxonomy places the organism in Eukaryota, Metazoa, Chordata, Aves, Galliformes, Phasianidae.
AGAGCGGUGUCGCUCUAUAGCAACAAGGCGGUUUGCGCGGGCCGGGCUUGCGUUGCUAUAGCAACAAGGGCGAAGAGGUCGGGGCCUGGUGCGAGGCAUGGCGGGGGUACUGCUCUGCGAGCCCACCGAGCUCUACAACAUCCUCAACCAGCACCGCCGCUUCUCCAGGCUGUCCGAGCCCCACUACCUCAGCCUGCUGGGUGAGCCCAUGGAGCACAGCGGGGCGGCUGGCAGGAGCAGGGCUGCUUUCCUCAGGAAUGGGGCCUAUGCCCGCACUCUUCGUGAGUACAAUGAAAGCCACAUUAUUACAGCAUGCAGGAUUGAACAGAGCCCUACAGGGGAGUAUCUGGUGCCAGAUUCAGAGGAACUGGCAUAUGUCAGAUACUGCGUGGUGUAUGACUCUGAGACCAGCUCUUUGGACUUCUUUGACUAUGAGGAAGAGGAAAAAGAGAAAGGAAGCAAUGGUUCUUCAGAAACUGAACACUCUGAGUCAAGUUCCUCAUAUUCACAGAAUGCUGAGGAAGGAACUGCUGCCCGACACGCCAGAAGCUUACAGCAGUUCACCCGCCAUCCGGUGCUUGUCCUGAGGGGAGGAUACAAACGUUUCUCAGCUUGCUAUCACUUUCUGAGGACUCAGAAGAUAUUGUGGAUGCCUCAGGAACUCGACAACUUCAAGCCAUACCCUGUAGAAAUACUGCCUGGAAAGUUAUACAUGGGCAAUUUCAGGCAGGCCUGCGACCAACAAAUUCAGAAAGAUUUGAAGAUCAAAGCACAAGUCAACAUUUCUGAACAGCCUGCAACGCUGUUGACAGAAGAAGGCAAAUACCUCCAUAUAUCUGUUCCAGAUUCGCUUGAAGCAGAUCUUUUUUCUUCCUUUUCUACCAUUUGUCAUUUCAUUGACACCCAGCUGGAUCUCGGAGCAGUGCUGGUGUUCUCUAGCCUGGGAAUAAGCCGGAGCAGCACAGUAAUCAUGGCCUAUCUUAUGCAUUCCUUCCAGUUUUCCCUGAAGAAAGCUUGGGACUACGUUCUGAAAUGCAAAACGAACGUGAGACCACACCGGGGCUUUGUGAAACAGCUUUCAGACUGGGAGACUCAAAUCUAUGGGACCACCAUCACUGAUGUCUCUGAACCCAAUUACUGAGCACAGAGAACGCCAGCAGGGAAGGAUGCUUCUUUGUCUGCCCCACUGCCUCAUCUGCAGGUUGGCAGCACCGAAAACCCCCGGGCCGCCCACCGCCCCUCCAUCCCGUCCUUAAGCAGCGUAGGGCCGGCAUAGCAUAGCAGAUCAGAGCAUAGCAUGGCAUGGUACGGUAUGGCAUAGCAUGGCAUGGUACGGCAUGGUAUGGCGUAGCAUAACACGGCCCCCUCCCCGCCCCCCGGUCCGCCUCGUGGGGGGCGUGCCCGGAAGCGGCGGCGCAGUGCCGGGGCCGUUCGCCGCCUCCUCCGUCCGUCC